UUCCGGUUGAUCCCGCCGGAGGUUACUGCUAUCGAGGUUCGACUAAGCCAUGCGAGUCGAAUGUAGCAAUACAUGGCGAACUGCUCAGUAACACGUGGACAACCUGCCCUUAGGACGGGGAUAAACCCGGGAAACUGGGUAUAAUACCCGAUAGGUCUCGAUUGCUGGAAUGCAUCGAGAUUUAAAGCUCCGGCGCCUAAGGAUGGGUCUGCGGCCUAUCAGGUAGUAGUGGGUGUAGCGUACCCACUAGCCUACGACGGGUACGGGUUGUGAGAGCAAGAGCCCGGAGAUGGAUUCUGAGACACGAAUCCAGGCCCUACGGGGUGCAGCAGGCGCGAAAACUUUACAAUGCUGGCAACAGCGAUAAGGGAACCUCGAGUGCCAGGUUACAAAUCUGGCUGUCGAGAUGCCUAAAAAGCAUUUCAUAGCAAGGGCCGGGCAAGACCGGUGCCAGCCGCCGCGGUAACACCGGCGGCUCGAGUGGUAACCGUUAUUAUUGGGUCUAAAGGGUCUGUAGCCGGCCGGAUAAGUCUCUUGAGAAAUCUGGCAGCUUAACUGUCAGGCUUUCAGGAGAUACUGUCUGGCUCGAGGCCGGGAGAGGUGAGAGGUACUUCAGGGGUAGGGGUGAAAUCUUGUAAUCCUUGAAGGACCACCAGUGGCGAAGGCGUCUCACCAGAACGGACCUGACGGCAAGGGACGGAAGCUAGGGGCACGAACCGGAUUAGAUACCCGGGUAGUCCUAGCCGUAAACGAUACUCGCUAGGUGUCGGCCACGGUGCGACCGUUGUCGGUGCCGUAGGGAAGCCGUGAAGCGAGCCACCUGGGAAGUACGGCCGCAAGGCUGAAACUUAAAGGAAUUGGCGGGGGAGCACCACAACGGGUGGAGCUUGCGGUUUAAUUGGAUUCAACGCCGGG
Molecule: ribosomal RNA, 915 nt
Filed under: Methanosaeta sp. enrichment culture clone AP9
Lineage: Archaea; Methanobacteriati; Methanobacteriota; Methanomicrobia; Methanotrichales; Methanotrichaceae
Description: bacterial SSU rRNA
Rfam family: Archaeal small subunit ribosomal RNA
Source: RNAcentral